Molecule: long non-coding RNA, 1772 nt
Organism: Trifolium pratense (red clover)
Lineage: Eukaryota; Viridiplantae; Streptophyta; Magnoliopsida; Fabales; Fabaceae
Exons: 3
Source: RefSeq, a predicted model, not a curated record
AAGAUACAAUAAAGGUGAAAAUGACAAGAGAGAUGCAAAUGUGACGAUAGUAUAGCUUGCAAGUUGCAAGCAUUAUGGACACUGCUCCAUAAUUCAUAUAAACUAUCACCACAUUCAUAUAAACUAUCUUCAUCAUCUUUCGUUUAAAUUAAGAAUAAAAAACAGCAAACCAGUGACUGUUAUCACCAUAGAGAAUGAGGGAACCAUUCUAUUGCCGAAGAUGUUGUUUAUUUCUUGGUUAUCUACUUUGUGCUUUAUUUGGUCGGCGGUCAUCAUUUGUGAUAUUUUUCUUAUUUCAAUCGACUAUAAUUUCUUUGAUUAAUCAGUAUGAUAAGUUUACAAAGUUUUUAUCUUAUAAAUGCUACGGUGGUACUGUUUUAUUUUUAAUUAAUUUAAUUAAUGUAGCCAAAUAGAACUACAAAUUUAAUAUCUUAUCUAAAUCUAUCAUUAUAUGCAUGAUGUUGCAUAUAAUGGUCGCAGAGGAGGCUGAGAUCCCGAACUGCGACUAUAGGUAUAUACAGUGGCGACUCCAGGAUUGUUAAGGAGUCUGGGCAAAUUUUUGGAGAGAAUUUUAUCAACCCAAAUUUCGAAUAUAAAAAUAUUUAAACUCUGUUUUUCAAUAUUUAAUUUUGGAAGAAAUUUUUAAACAAGAAAUAACAUGCAAGAAUAUAGCCAUGUUUCCAAUAUAAUUAAGGCUCAACUAAAUAAGAGACUAUAAUGAAAACUGAAUCCACAUCGACGUAUAUAAUUAUAUUAAACUACUUAUUAAUUUAUACAAUAAAAACAGCUUAACAAAUUUUAAAAAUUCAAAACACCAUCAAGUCAUCAAACAAGGAUUAUAGAUGAGAAGGUUUUAAGUUGUUAAAAAUUAGAAUUAAUUGCAUAUUUGAUCUGUUAUGUUUAUUUUAGGUUUCAAUUUGCUCCCUUAUUUUUUAAAAGUUUCAAGUUGGUCAUUUUCCUCAAAUUUUAGUUUAAAUCGUCGACUUUUCUAAUGAAUUUGCGUACGUAGACCACUUAGGAGAGUACUAUGUGAAUGUUUUAGAAAAAUUAACUCAAAAUUUAACAAAAAGUUAGAAAAAAUUAACUCAAAAUUUAACGAAAACGACCAAUUUAUGUUGAGAUCAAUAACAUAAGGAACCAACUUGAAACUUUUAAAAAAUAAGGGACCAAAUUGAAACCUAAAAUAAACAUCGUACGGUACCUUUACGAAAUACGUUUCUUUUUUUUAUUUUUAUUUUUUCUUGUUUCUUAUUAUUACAAAAAAAAAGGGCAGCCCAGGCAUGUGCUGGGCAUGCCGGACGGCAUAAUCGCCAGUGGGUAUAUAAACUUUACUCUUAAUUUACUAUUUUGUUUACUUAAACUUUAUGUCUAGCCUAUUAAGUGUUUAGUAUAUUAAUGUUCAGUGACAAUAAUGCUGUUUGGUGAUCGACUGGAUAGGCAUAGCACAAAACUUCACUCCAAACAUUUAAGGAGAGCUUAUGCUUCCUCGUUGUUGCACGGCCUUCAUAAUGAAAUGAGGUUACAAGUUGAUGAAGAAACAAUCAAGUUUUGGGAAAAUGCUUAACACCACCUGAGUUGGAAUUAUGCAAAUCUGUCUUUAGCUAUGAAAUUUGUGCCUUAUUUGUUGGGUUGGGUUUGGAACCAUCUUAAUUUUGUCUUGUUAUAAUUAAUUGUAACCCUAUUUUUUUUUUAUAAAAAAUUGUAACCCUAUUUGAUAAAUAUUUGUAUGCAUAUUUUGUGAAAACUUGAAUUUAUUUCCCUCAUGUACUCUG